Molecule: ribosomal RNA, 433 nt
Filed under: uncultured bacterium
Lineage: Bacteria
Description: partial 16S ribosomal RNA
Rfam family: Bacterial small subunit ribosomal RNA
Source: RNAcentral
AACGAACGCUGGCGGCAUGCCUAACACAUGCAAGUCGAACGAGACCUUCGGGUCUAGUGGCGCACGGGUGCGUAACGCGUGGGAACCUGCCCUUAGGUUCGGAAUAACUCCCCGAAAGGGGUGCUAAUACCGGAUAAUGUCUUCGGACCAAAGAUUUAUCGCCUUUGGAUGGGCCCGCGUUGGAUUAGCUAGUUGGUAGGGUAAAAGCCUACCAAGGCGACGAUCCAUAGCUGGUCUGAGAGGAUGAUCAGCCACACUGGGACUGAGACACGGCCCAGACUCCUACGGGAGGCAGCAGUGGGGAAUAUUGGACAAUGGGCGAAAGCCUGAUCCAGCAAUGCCGCGUGAGUGAUGAAGGCCUUAGGGUUGUAAAGCUCUUUUACCCGGGAUGAUAAAGACAGUACCGGGAGAAUAAGCUCCGGCUAACUCCGUG